GUGGGGAAUCUUAGACAAUGGGGGAAACCCUGAUCUAGCCAUGCCGCGUGAUCGAUGAAGGCCUUAGGGUUGUAAAGAUCUUUCAGGUGGGAAGAUAAUGACUGUACCACCAGAAGAAGCCCCGGCUAACUCCGUGCCAGCAGCCGCGGUAAUACGGAGGGGGCUAGCGUUGUUCGGAAUUACUGGGCGUAAAGCGCACGUAGGCGGAUUGGAAAGUUGGGGGUGAAAUCCCGGGGCUCAACCCCGGAACUGCCUUCAAAACUCCCAGUCUUGAGUUCGAGAGAGGUGAGUGGAAUUCCGAGUGUAGAGGUGAAAUUCGUAGAUAUUCGGAAGAACACCAGUGGCGAAGCCGGCUCACUGGCUCGAUACUGACGCUGAGGUGCGAAAGCGUGGGGAGCAAACAGGAUUAGAAACCCCUGUAGUCC
RNAcentral lists this ribosomal RNA (425 nucleotides) under uncultured bacterium. RNAcentral describes it as "partial 16S ribosomal RNA". It matches the Rfam family "Bacterial small subunit ribosomal RNA", at positions 354 to 796 of the family's 1533-position model. The record is from RNAcentral.